Molecule: long non-coding RNA, 1609 nt
Organism: Aethalodelphis obliquidens (Pacific white-sided dolphin)
Lineage: Eukaryota; Metazoa; Chordata; Mammalia; Artiodactyla; Delphinidae
Exons: 3
Source: RefSeq, a predicted model, not a curated record
GGGCGGGGCCGGGGCGGGGAGUCGGAGGGCUGAGGGGACGCGGGCCAGGCCGGGGGUCCUGGGCAGGUCUGGAGCCCGAUAUGAUGGCCGCUGCGGACUUGUGUACAGUCAGGCGUGGUGGUCGUGCCCUUUCGUGUCCUCAGGUGGCUACUGUGACCCUCACCUCUCCUGCAUGCCCGGGUCGGACCAGUUCCGUCGGAUACGGUGACGUGGAGAGGGCACCUGGUCUCUCCGGCUCGGGUCUUCGUCUAGUGGGUGACACGUUAAUCAGCGUGCAGUUACCGUGGUCCUGAGGGAUGAAGGCCAAGGAACUUGGCGUAGACUGGAAGGCUUCCUGGAGGAGAAAGGGGAAACUGGAGACAGACAAGCACACAGGGAGAACGAUCAUGAACACGGAUGGCCAUCUGCAAGCUUAGGAGAGCGGCCUGGAGCAGACUCACUCCCUCAACGGCUCUGGGGGAAGCAGCCUCUGACACCGUGAUCCUGGACUUCUGGAUUCCAGAGCAGUGGGGAGAUAAAUUUGUGUUGUUUAAGCCGCCAGGUUUAUUUAUGGUACUUGUUUGGGCAGCCCCAGGAACAAAUACGGGGAGGGGGCCUGACACUGUUCCGGGAAAUGAAGAAAAGUGCCCUGUGGCUAGAGCCCAGGGGCCCAGGGGGAGCAGGGUCCUCUGGGUGGCUCCACUGGGUCCCAGUGGGGGAUGCAAGGGAGGAUUUAAGGUGGAAGAGUUUCGCGUAAGGUUUGUGUUUUUAGAAAACUGCUUUGGCUGUUGCAGAACAGGUUAGCAGGGAGCCAGGCAGUCGCCACAUGAGGCCGUUGCGAAGGCCGUGCUCUGGCUGAGAUGAGUUCCUGGAAUAGGCGCUAGAGGGGGCUGCAACCCAGACCUGCCGACAGGCCACUCACUGAGUACACGAUCACUGCCUCAGCAUCUGUUCUGUGUGGCCCGCUGCCUGCGGGGCCUUGAACUGACAGGAGCCCUCCCGCGAGUGCGUGACCUAGAUGACAGCCCGCAGAGUCACCAGUAAACCGAAGUUCCUGAUGUGACCCCCCCGCCCAACACCCUUGUGAUAACCUCUCUCCCUGUGGGCCCCAUAGAUUAAACCCCUGUGAAGCUCACCAAAACCCUGCUCCCUCUGGUUUGAACUGACCUAUCCAGCCUUAGCCCAGGAACCCCAAAGCACAGCCCUGUGGACCUAAUACAGGUGUGCGCCCCGGGUCCCGACUCCUGGGCACUCUGCCUGUACCUCCUCCAGGACCUGUGAGUCGUAAGCUUCCCUGUUCCGCUGUUUCUUGAGGUCUUUGUUGAACCACCAGGCAGCCUGGCCACAUGCCUUCUGACAUUGCAGGCAGCACCCACAGGGAUGGAGUGACAGCCGGGGCAGCACCGGGAGAAUGGAGCAGACAGGAAGGGCAUUGCAAGGGAUGGGGAAAUAAAACUAUCAUUGGAACCACAGGCCAUAAAAGUAGGCUGGAAUUUAUACACUAAACCUAAAUUGGAUGACUUUCUGCUGAAAUAGAAGAUUAAUUUUUUGUUUGAUGUGGACCAUUUUUUAAAGUUUUUAUUGAAUUUGUUACAAUAUUGCUUCUUCUUUUUUUUUUUUUUAAUAUAUU